AUUAAAGUGAAGAUUUCCUCAGGUAAAGGGUAUUAACUCCCACUGAAAGUAUUAGUUAGAUAAAAGACAUGAAGCUUUUGCUUCUGGAUUACCAACACAGUUAGUCAGUAUCCAACGCCCUGGAGGUGAUCCACAGCCCACUUUUCUCGGACCUAUAGAGAAACAUCUUGGAGGUCUAACAAGCAAUCUAGUUUCCAUGGCUGAGGACUAAGAUGAUGAUGUGACCAAAGAUUUCGGUCCGUAAAUCUGAAAGUAUUAUGUUCUUAGUUUGAUUUGGGGUAAAUCUUUUCAUAGAAAAAGUUUUGAGCCAGGAUAUACAAUUCUCCAUCUUUUUCCCGGACUGCGUGUGCUCUGACAAACUGAAAUUGCUCCAGUGCAAAUUCAUAGAACUCAUUCUCCAUUUUCCAGAUUUCAGACUGUUGCAGCUUGGCAAUAGUUUCUUUUGUGGGAAGUUUUUUCUCAGUUGUUUUCCUAAGAUGAGACUUCUUUCCUGUCCGGUACAGUUCUGUGGCACCCCUGAAGAACCGGGGCAAAGCUGCCUCCAAUAACAUGAUGAAAUCUUCAAGCUCUUCAGUAACUCCCACGAGGAAGUAUUCAUUAAUCAGGUUGUACUUGGCUUGUUCCAAAGCCCAUCUGCUUCCCACAUUCCAGCACUCGGAGCUGUGGCCACAGAAGAAUGGAAUUUGAAGCCAAAGUUUCUCUGGAGCACAGUCUGACCCUCCAGCUGCCACACAUUCAUCAAAGGUCUUCUUAUCCCCCUGUUUUCUCCUUCGUAGCCCUGGUCUGUAAUCGUCUCCAAAGCGCAGAAAGUAAUAAUAAGAAACUAGCCGUUCUAUGGGAUCUCUUAUGACGUUUAUGUAAAUGGGUUUCUUUUUAACACCAAAUUUCGCAAAGUCCAAAUACGAUACGUGUCCGUGGUAAAAUCCUGGUUUCAUUUCCUUCCAGGAAGUCACGUUCUUCACAAACCGAACCUGAUCUUGCAGAGACAUCACAGGAUUAUUUUUGGUUGUAUUGAUAUGUAGAACAUGGUAUCUGUUCUUUGCACAAAGAUCAUAGGCAAUAUUUGUGAAGGAUGUGCUGGCAGUCUUAGGUACUCUAUUGUAAAUAAUCACCACAUCAUCUUCUUCAUCCAGUGCCACUUCUUGUCGGGGGCCAUCUGCUGUAUGACGUUGUUCUAUCUCUCUGACUUCAUGUCUUGCAAUAGCCCUUUCCAGCUUGCCGCGGGACUCCUCCAGCUUCUGGAUCUGGUUCUCCAGGAAGAGCACCGCCACGCCGAACACCAGCACGGCCAGCAGCUGCAACUUGGGCGGCAGCAUGAUCCUGAGCAGCCCCAUCGGCAGCCCCGGCGGCGCCGCCCGCCCGGGAUCACGACAUAACGCGGGGCCCGGCCGGGCGGGCAGGCGGGAGCCGCGGCAGCCGCCGCUCCGACGGCGCGAGCGAGGGGAGGCGCGCGCAGGGCCCGCUCACAUCGCCCCGGCCCGGCCCCGAGCGCCGCGCGGCCGCCACUAACGCGCCCCUCCCCCG
This 1524-nucleotide long non-coding RNA is filed under the name Gallus gallus (chicken). The record is from RNAcentral. Lineage: Eukaryota; Metazoa; Chordata; Aves; Galliformes; Phasianidae.